This 100-nucleotide transfer RNA is filed under the name Microcaldota archaeon. RNAcentral describes it as "tRNA-Phe". It matches the Rfam family "tRNA". Rfam says of the family: Transfer RNA (tRNA) molecules are approximately 80 nucleotides in length. Their secondary structure includes four short double-helical elements and three loops (D, anti-codon, and T loops). Lineage: Archaea; Nanobdellati; Microcaldota. The record is from RNAcentral.
GCCGCAGUAGCUCAGUGGGAGAGCACUCCGCUGAAGAUUCCCACGGAAUUUACUCCUAUCAGAUACGGAGGGGUCGCUUGUUCAAAUCAGGCCUGCGGCA